Long non-coding RNA from Fukomys damarensis (Damara mole-rat), 499 nucleotides. RefSeq lists it as uncharacterized. The transcript has 5 exons. NCBI's taxonomy places the organism in Eukaryota, Metazoa, Chordata, Mammalia, Rodentia, Bathyergidae. The record is from RefSeq and is a predicted model, not a curated record.
CUUGGUUGGCCCAGUCCUUGGCUUGCUUUUACCAGCAAUCCUGGGAAGAAGAACUUGUUUAAUGCCAUUCUGACUACAAAAGGGAUAAUUCUGGAAGAGGAAGGCACCUGAGAAACUGUGCAUUCAAUUAUUUAAAGUAUUCAUUGUUCUACACCUGUCUACGAAUGACUGAAAAAUAACCACAAGUACUCACAAUGGAGUUACACAUCUGACAAAUGCAAAGAGCACCUCCUUUUUCAAAUUAAGAAAACCAAGAAGACACAUUCUGGGGAAGCAGUAUGUCCAUUACAUUCAUGUCCAAAUGCAUAAUUCUGGGCAGAUGCUGCUAUAUUGCACAUACCUUGAUAAAUAAAGAAAUAUGAGAAGGCAUCAAGUUAAAUACAAUGAACAUUUAAUGAUGUUUUACCUACAAAUAAGAGGAGUGUAAGUGGAACGGGAACCUGCAGAUCUGCAAAUCAGACUGGAAGCUGUGGCCAAGCCCAGGGCAUCAGGGCAAGGA